GACGAACGCUGGCGGCGUGCUUAACACAUGCAAGUCGAACGGAAAGGCCCUGCUUUUGUGGGGUGCUCGAGUGGCGAACGGGUGAGUAACACGUGAGUAACCUGUCCUUGACUUUGGGAUAACUUCAGGAAACUGGGGCUAAUACCGGAUAGGAGCUACUGCUGCAUGGUGGGGGUUGGAAAGUUUCGGCGGUUGGGGAUGGGCUGGCGGCUUAUCAGCUUGUUGGUGGGGUAGUGGCUUACCAAGGCUAUGACGGGUAGCAGGGCUGGGAGGGUGACCGGACAAGUUAGGCCUGGAAUGCGACACAGACUACAACGGGACGGAGCGGAGGAGAAUAGUACACAGGGGGCGGAAGGCAGAUGCGACCACGCCGCGUGGGGGAUGACAGCCAUCGGGUAGUAAACCGCUUUCGCCUGAGACGAGACGAGAGUGACAGUAAUGGGUAAAGAAGCACCGGCUAACUACGUG
Molecule: ribosomal RNA, 468 nt
Filed under: uncultured bacterium
Lineage: Bacteria
Description: partial 16S ribosomal RNA
Rfam family: Bacterial small subunit ribosomal RNA
Source: RNAcentral